RNAcentral lists this transfer RNA (69 nucleotides) under Ictidomys tridecemlineatus (thirteen-lined ground squirrel). RNAcentral describes it as "Spermophilus tridecemlineatus (thirteen-lined ground squirrel) tRNA". It matches the Rfam family "tRNA". From Rfam's summary of the family: Transfer RNA (tRNA) molecules are approximately 80 nucleotides in length. Their secondary structure includes four short double-helical elements and three loops (D, anti-codon, and T loops). Lineage: Eukaryota; Metazoa; Chordata; Mammalia; Rodentia; Sciuridae. The record is from Rfam by way of RNAcentral.
GGGAUUGUGGCUCAGCGGUAGAGCACUCACCUAACACAUGAGAGGUACUGGGUUCAAUUCUCAGCACCA